GGUUAAGCGACUAAGCGUACACGGUGGAUGCCCUGGCAGUCAGAGGCGAUGAAGGACGUGCUAAUCUGCGAAAAGCGUCGGUAAGGUGAUAUGAACCGUUAUAACCGGCGAUGUCCGAAUGGGGAAACCCAGUGCAAUUCGUUGCACUAUCGUUAACUGAAUACAUAGGUUAACGAGGCGAACCGGGGGAACUGAAACAUCUAAGUACCCCGAGGAAAAGAAAUCAACCGAGAUUCCCCCAGUAGCGGCGAGCGAACGGGGAGCAGCCCAGAGUCUGAAUCAGCUUGUGUGUUAGUGGAACGGUCUGGAAAGUCCGACGGUACAGGGUGAUAGUCCCGUACACCAAAAUGCACAGGCUGUGAACUCGAAGAGUAGGGCGGGACACGUGGUAUCCUGUCUGAAUAUGGGGGGACCAUCCUCCAAGGCUAAAUACUCCUGACUGACCGAUAGUGAACCAGUACCGUGAGGGAAAGGCGAAAAGAACCCCGGCGAGGGGAGUGAAAAAGAACCUGAAACCGUGUACGUACAAGCAGUGGGAGCACCUUCGGGUGUGACUGCGUACCUUUUGUAUAAUGGGUCAGCGACUUAUAUUCUGUAGCAAGGUUAACCGUAUAGGGGAGCCGCAGGGAAACCGAGUCUUAACUGGGCGUUAAGUUGCAGGGUAUAGACCCGAAACCCGGUGAUCUAGCCAUGGGCAGGUUGAAGGUUGGGUAACACUAACUGGAGGACCGAACCGACUAAUGUUGAAAAAUUAGCGGAUGACUUGUGGCUGGGGGUGAAAGGCCAAUCAAACCGGGAGAUAGCUGGUUCUCCCCGAAAGCUAUUUAGGUAGCGCCUCGUGAAUUCAUCUUCGGGGGUAGAGCACUGUUUCGGCUAGGGGGUCAUCCCGACUUACCAACCCGAUGCAAACUGCGAAUACCGAAGAAUGUUAUCACGGGAGACACACGGCGGGUGCUAACGUCCGUCGUGAAGAGGGAAACAACCCAGACCGCCAGCUAAGGUCCCAAAGUCAUGGUUAAGUGGGAAACGAUGUGGGAAGGCACAGACAGCCAGGAUGUUGGCUUAGAAGCAGCCAUCAUUUAAAGAAAGCGUAAUAGCUCACUGGUCGAGUCGGCCUGCGCGGAAGAUGUAACGGGGCUAAACCAUGCACCGAAGCUGCGGCAGCGACACUAUGUGUUGUUGGGUAGGGGAGCGUUCUGUAAGCCUGCGAAGGUGUGCUGUGAGGCAUGCUGGAGGUAUCAGAAGUGCGAAUGCUGACAUAAGUAACGAUAAAGCGGGUGAAAAGCCCGCUCGCCGGAAGACCAAGGGUUCCUGUCCAACGUUAAUCGGGGCAGGGUGAGUCGACCCCUAAGGCGAGGCCGAAAGGCGUAGUCGAUGGGAAACAGGUUAAUAUUCCUGUACUUGGUGUUACUGCGAAGGGGGGACGGAGAAGGCUAUGUUAGCCGGGCGACGGUUGUCCCGGUUUAAGCAUGUAGGCUGGUUGUCCAGGCAAAUCCGGAUAAUCAAGGCUGAGGUGUGAUGACGAGGCACUACGGUGCUGAAGUAACAAAUGCCCUGCUUCCAGGAAAAGCCUCUAAGCAUCAGGUAACAUUAAAUCGUACCCCAAACCGACACAGGUGGUCAGGUAGAGAAUACCAAGGCGCUUGAGAGAACUCGGGUGAAGGAACUAGGCAAAAUGGUGCCGUAACUUCGGGAGAAGGCACGCUGGUGUGUAGGUGAAGUCCCUGCGGAUGGAGCUGAGACCAGUCGAAGAUACCAGCUGGCUGCAACUGUUUAUUAAAAACACAGCACUGUGCAAACACGAAAGUGGACGUAUACGGUGUGACGCCUGCCCGGUGCCGGAAGGUUAAUUGAUGGGGUUAUCCGUAAGGAGAAGCUCUUGAUCGAAGCCCCGGUAAACGGCGGCCGUAACUAUAACGGUCCUAAGGUAGCGAAAUUCCUUGUCGGGUAAGUUCCGACCUGCACGAAUGGCGUAAUGAUGGCCAGGCUGUCUCCACCCGAGACUCAGUGAAAUUGAACUCGCUGUGAAGAUGCAGUGUACCCGCGGCAAGACGGAAAGACCCCGUGAACCUUUACUAUAGCUUGACACUGAACAUUGAGCCUUGAUGUGUAGGAUAGGUGGGAGGCUUUGAAGCGUGGACGCCAGUCUGCGUGGAGCCAACCUUGAAAUACCACCCUUUAAUGUUUGAUGUUCUAACGUUGGCCCCUUAUCGGGGUUGCGGACAGUGUCUGGUGGGUAGUUUGACUGGGGCGGUCUCCUCCCAAAGCGUAACGGAGGAGCACGAAGGUUAGCUAAUCCUGGUCGGACAUCAGGAGGUUAGUGCAAUGGCAUAAGCUAGCUUGACUGCGAGCGUGACGGCGCGAGCAGGUGCGAAAGCAGGUCAUAGUGAUCCGGUGGUUCUGAAUGGAAGGGCCAUCGCUCAACGGAUAAAAGGUACUCCGGGGAUAACAGGCUGAUACCGCCCAAGAGUUCAUAUCGACGGCGGUGUUUGGCACCUCGAUGUCGGCUCAUCACAUCCUGGGGCUGAAGUAGGUCCCAAGGGUAUGGCUGUUCGCCAUUUAAAGUGGUACGCGAGCUGGGUUUAGAACGUCGUGAGACAGUUCGGUCCCUAUCUGCCGUGGGCGCUGGAGAAUUGAGGGGGGCUGCUCCUAGUACGAGAGGACCGGAGUGGACGCAUCACUGGUGUUCGGGUUGUCAUGCCAAUGGCACUGCCCGGUAGCUAAAUGCGGAAGAGAUAAGUGCUGAAAGCAUCUAAGCACGAAACUUGCCCCGAGAUGAGUUCUCCCUGAGACUUUAAGUCUCCUGAAGGAACGUUGAAGACGACGACGUUGAUAGGCCGGGUGUGUAAGCGCAGCGAUGCGUUGAGCUAACCGGUACUAAUGAACCGUGAGGCUUAACCUU
RNAcentral lists this ribosomal RNA (2902 nucleotides) under Klebsiella pneumoniae subsp. pneumoniae NTUH-K2044. RNAcentral describes it as "bacterial LSU rRNA". It matches the Rfam family "Bacterial large subunit ribosomal RNA". Lineage: Bacteria; Pseudomonadati; Pseudomonadota; Gammaproteobacteria; Enterobacterales; Enterobacteriaceae. The record is from RNAcentral.